RNAcentral lists this ribosomal RNA (218 nucleotides) under Klebsiella pneumoniae. Its description in RNAcentral is "partial 23S ribosomal RNA". It matches the Rfam family "Bacterial large subunit ribosomal RNA", at positions 2725 to 2925 of the family's 2925-position model. The record is from RNAcentral. Lineage: Bacteria; Pseudomonadati; Pseudomonadota; Gammaproteobacteria; Enterobacterales; Enterobacteriaceae.
CAUGCCAAUGGCACUGCCCGGUAGCUAAAUGCGGAAGAGAUAAGUGCUGAAAGCAUCUAAGCACGAAACUUGCCCCGAGAUGAGUUCUCCCUGAGACUUUAAGUCUCCUGAAGGAACGUUAAAGACGAUGACGUUGAUAGGCCGGGUGUGUAAGCGCAGCGAUGCGUUGAGCUAACCGGUACUAAUGAACCGUGAGGCUUAACCUUACAACGCCGAAG